Molecule: long non-coding RNA, 3143 nt
Organism: Anolis carolinensis (green anole)
Lineage: Eukaryota; Metazoa; Chordata; Lepidosauria; Squamata; Anolidae
Source: Ensembl
AGUACCGGCAGUGGGCCACCUGUGGAUCCAUGUGCCUGGCGAGACAAAGAAGAUAAAUCCAAUAUUCCCCAAUUAACCAAUCUUACCAAGUUGAAGAAAAAUCCACCUUGCUGGGAGCUGUCAAGUGUUGGAAGGCAAUGUCUCCAAGUCUUGAACGACAAAUAAGCUUUCCAGUGUGUGGAACCAUCUUCUCCAACAAAGGCCCCAGCUCCUUUCUUAAAGUUUGUACUAAAGCCCGGAACUGUUGGAAAUAGCAACUUCUUAAACCUCUCACUGUUUGAUUUAUUAAUUUAUAUAUUUGCUAACCUGUAUUCUACAUGUAUGUUGAUUUGCCAGUUUGACUUACCUCUUUGGUGUGGGAGGAGCUAUAAACAUGUGAUUGUACUGAGCAUGUUCAGACGCAAGACUCCAUUUUGUGUUCAGUUCUGUCCUUCAUCUCAGUGGAGGAGAUGCCUGUCUGGUUGGACUUCAGUAGAGAAGAAUGAUUACGGACUUCAGGAGAAGUUUGCCGUUUUGCAAAUAUUUGGCCAUCCUUCACUGCCAUGACAACGGAGCCUUUUCGGGGACGUCGGAAGCUGCCUUCAUGAGCCUUCGUCCAGACAUGCGCCGGAUCGAGAUUGACGAGGAAAGCAUCCAGCGCCAGGAUUUUCCUCCUCCUCCUGGACUCUUCCGCAUGAUCAUUUAUUUAUCUAGUCUUUGAUUUUACAGUUAGAGGAGUUAAUCGUCAAUACUUCCCUUAGGUUCCUUAGAAAUAUAGUUAGUGAUUUGCUGUGCAUCUACACUGUGGAACUGAUGUGGUUUGACACCACUUCAUUUGCUUUGGUUCAGUGCCGCAGAAUCCUGAGAUUUGUAAUUUGGUGAAGCACCAGAACUCUAAAAUUACAGCUCCCCAAAUUUCAUAGCAUUGAGUCAGGGCAGUUAAAGUCAUAUUGGACUGUAUAGAUGCAUCCUUGAUUUGUGGAGGAAUCAAGGUAAAGGGACAUCUCCAGAAGAACGUGGAGAAUCUGCAAGCCAUUUGCUCUUCCAACCUAAACCCUUUCGAUAUGAAACACCUUGGGCUUCAUACCACGUUCAAGUCUAUGCCUAUGACCUCUGGAAAAGUCUUGUGUUCAUGUUUCUUGGAUUCAUGUUUUGGAAGAAGUCGCUGUGUUCCUGUUUUUGGAUUUAUGCCUAUGCUUUGAUUCCUGGUUUUUCCAUGUACCUUGUCACUUAUAGGCAGAACUUUGAUGUUUGAAAUAUUGCUUUUUGAAAGCUUUUUCCUAUUGCUUUUUGGACGUUGCUUUUAAUAUAGCCUUUUACCUUUUUGUAGGAGCCCCCGGUGGUGCAGUGAGUUAAACUGCCAAGCUGCUGAACUUUCUGAUUGAAAGGCUGGCGGUUCGAAUCCAGGGAGCGGAGUGAGCACCUGCUAUUAACCCUAGCUUCUGUCAACCUAGCAGUUCGAAAAUAUGCAAAUGUGAGUAGAUCAAUAGGUACCGCUCCAGCGGGAAAGUAUGUCAGGGUGAGGUUAAAAAAAAAUCAUCAGCUCUGCACUACCUUGAUUUAUUGUUGAUCCAGACCUCUCACCAAUACAUCCUCAGUCAGACUGCUUGCCAUUCGGAAAAGCAGCACCGACAAAUGACACCUCAAUCGUUAAUCAGAUGAACGCAGCAGUUCUUAGACUUUAUUCUAUAUAUACAAGUUAUUUACAAGCUGCAAAGUCCAUCACUCAUUGGACUCAUGCUCUCUUCUUGCCAAUCAGCGAAGCACACACACACUGCUGCUAACAGCACAUUCCACAGCAGAAAGAUGAAUGUCCUCUCAGACCGGAAGUCAUGACCUAUUGGCUCGGCAGGCUAUCACUCAAACUGGCCUGCCGUUAACACUUUUUUUCGUGUUAGGAGCAACCAGAGUUUUAUUUAUUUAUUUAUCACAUGCAUUUAUGCCCCGCACUUCUCCCUGAGGGGACUCAGAGAGUUGCUUCUGGAGUGAGAGAAUUGGCCGUCUGCAAGGACGUUGCCCAGGGGACACCCGGAUGUUUUGAUGUUUUUACCAUCCUUGUGGGAGGCUUCUCUCAUGUCCCUGCAUGGAGCUGGAGCUGAUAGAGGGAGCUCAUCUGCGCUUUCCCCGGGUGGGAUUCAAACCUGGCAGCCUUCAGGUUAGCAACCCAAUCUUCAAGUCACAAGGCUUCUAUCCCCUAGGCCACCGGAGGCUCCUAACCGUUAACACUUAAGUUGCUGGAAUACAUGUCCGGUAUACACAGUUGCAAACAGUAAAAACACUUGAUUCAUCAUUUCACUCUUACACUCAAAAAUACUCAACAAGGUAAUGGCACUCCAUGCAGUUAUGCCAAUGGCCACAUGACCUUGGAGGUGUCCACGGACAACGCCGGCUCUUUGACUUAGAAAUGGAGAUGAGCACCAACCCCCAGAGUCGGGAACGACUGGACUUCAUGUCAGGGGAAAACCUUUACCUUUACCGUACUUUUUUAUAACUGCACUAGCUGUGCCCAGCCAUGCGUUGCUGUGGCGUUGUCUGGUGGUGUUGGUGAGAAAUUGUUGAGGUAGUGGUGGUAUUGAAUGUAUGUUGUAUGGUUGUCUUUAUGUUUAGUAUGCACACUGAAGUGGAUUAUAUGGCAGUGUGGACUCAAGAUAAUCCAGUUCAAAGCAGAUAAUAUAAGAUUCUAAAUGGGUUGUAUAGCUGUUUGGAAGGGCCUUGAGUCUACACUGCCAUAUAAUCCAGUUAAAAUCUCAUAAUCUGUGGAAGAGGCCUAAGUGAGGCCUAACUGUGCCUGUCCCCUGGGCUGAGGAGGUUGCUAGGAGACCAAGUGGGUGGAACUUAGCCUUCAAACUGGCAGCAAUUGGAUAAAAACAAUUAUUGCUCUCCCUCUAAUUAGGACUUUAUUUUUCUUUUCUUUUUGUUGUAUCAACCUAGAGCCGUGAAUGAUGGGUUGUGUUGUCAAAUUUCGAGGUUGGGGGGCCUGUAGUUUUGUUGUUUUGUCCGCUGCCCUGAUGCCAUCAUUCUUUUAUAUAUAUAGAUUUUUCAAUAAACUGUUUAGUUCAUACAACUGGACUCUUGCGUGGUGUUGGGUGCAAAGGCGACUUUAGGCUGGAGUGCAACAGGUGGAAGCUCCUUCUUUGGAGGCUUUACAACAGAGGCUGGAUGGC